Molecule: transfer RNA, 85 nt
Filed under: Sutterella megalosphaeroides
Lineage: Bacteria; Pseudomonadati; Pseudomonadota; Betaproteobacteria; Burkholderiales; Sutterellaceae
Description: tRNA-Leu
Rfam family: tRNA
About the family: Transfer RNA (tRNA) molecules are approximately 80 nucleotides in length.
Source: RNAcentral
GCGGGAGUGGCGAAAUUGGUAGACGCACCAGGUUUAGGUCCUGACGCCUUCAGGCGUGCCGGUUCGAGUCCGGCCUUCCGCACCA